Papaver somniferum (opium poppy) is the source of this 1814-nucleotide long non-coding RNA. RefSeq lists it as uncharacterized. NCBI's taxonomy places the organism in Eukaryota, Viridiplantae, Streptophyta, Magnoliopsida, Ranunculales, Papaveraceae. The record is from RefSeq and is a predicted model, not a curated record. The transcript has 10 exons.
CUGCCGCUGCUGUUUCUGCUUCUACCGCUACUGCUUCUCUUCUUCAUAAAAAAAAAACGAAGAUUCGUUAACGAAAUCCAUCAAAAAUAUCAGUUCUUCUCUAUUCUCUUCAUCAAUACCAACUGAUAACGAUCCAUCAACAACAUCAUUUCUUGAAGAUUUGUUCUGAAUCUAUAAAGAAUAAUCGAUGAGGAUCAUCAACAACAAUCAGAUUACAUCUCUUAUUUGGAGGCUGGGGUAGCUUCAGUUGAUGUAAAGAAGCUUAAAGAUGUUGAUCUAUGCACAGUUGAAGAUUUUGCAAACUCUCCUUGGAAAAAAUUACUUCUAAUCAACGGAAUUAGUGAAGCUGAAGUUGAUAAGAUCAUCGAAGCAGCGACAGAACUGGUUCCAUUGGGUUUUUGUAAGAACUAUUUUGCUAGUUAAGUAACUCUUGUUCAAUCAAGUUACUUUUCAAUGCAUCAUAUAUGUCAUAAAUAUGAUAAAGGAAAUUGUUGAUACACCUUCAUUCAUCUCCCUGUUGGUUGGUGAUGGUUGGGCCGCUGGGGUCUUGAUCAGGUCCGCCAUGUGUAAAGAAGUGGGGUUCCUGAAGGUGAGUGGAUGUAUAUAUAAUGGGUGAAGACGAAAAAACUGCUGGUUCAUUUAUGUUGCCUUAAAGCAGAUCCAUGUUGUUCCCUGAUUUUGAUAACAACUUCAUUUAUGGUACACACCCCUGAUCUGGGCAGAUAUUUGAUUGCCAGUUCGUAUGAAGAACAGUUCCGCAGUGUCUUGAAUGGUUCCGUAAAGACAAUGGCGCAAAGAUGAGGGUCAGGUUACAAUCUCUCAACAAGGUGACGAUAUAGUUGGUUAGGAGCAAUUAGAUAAGGAUACAAAUGUUAGAUGAGCAUUUCUUAAAAUAUGCCGGACUAUAAGAUCUAUGAGUGCAUCGGAAGUGCCGACGGCAUGACUUACAUGGAAUACAGACACAAAAUAAUCGAAGCAGGCCCUGAUAGAGCUCAUACAAUGGUGGUGACCAAUGAUGGAAAGCCCUUUACCUUUGGCUAUAAUAAGCAUGGACAAUGAGGAACAAGCUCAGCAAGCACUGGUCAUGGCUGGUCAUGUUUUACUUAAGUUCACAGUUUUGUCAGACCUGGAACCAUCUCUCAAAGCUCUUAAAGAUAAGCUCUUGACUUUGUAAUGAGCAUUGAUUGUUAAUUGGUAAAGAUAGUUCCAGGGCAUUGAUUGUGUUACAUUUUAACUUUUUGCCCAAUAUUGUGAAUGUGUGAAUUACUUUGAUAGAAAAUUACUUGGCUUUUUUCAGUGGGUUGUGAACUCUCUACGGUUGAGCAGAUUCAUUCGUGGAAGCUUCCCUAUGGUAACGCAAGCUGUUGAGGACAAAACUGAACUUAACGAAUCAAGAUAUUAACUUAUCCCCUGAAUAAGAUUUCUCUUCUGAUGAAGAAACGAAGAAGGGUUCUGUUGGUUUGAAUCAGUCACUGAGGAACUUACAUUCUGUUAAAUUGAUUCAGGAGUUGAAGGAACAACCAGAAGUAGUUUCGAAGAGUGUUUCUAUUGGAGCGACAGACAGAAGUUCGGGUUCUUCUGAGGAGGAGGUAGUGAGUUUGUGUUUCUUAUGAUUUCCCUGUGUGUAUUAAGCUGUAGGCUAUGUUUUUUUUAGUGGAGGUUUAUCAUACAGAAUAUAUACAAUGUUUCUAUAUAUAUCCAGGAAUCUGCAACUAUAUUUUCCAUGAACUGAACUUAACUUAGGAACUAAGUAUGUUUCUAAUGUGUACACUAGUUUGUUGUGAUACUUGGAAUACAUUUGUAUUAAAUACUAC